Molecule: non-coding RNA, 4300 nt
Organism: Anas platyrhynchos (mallard)
Lineage: Eukaryota; Metazoa; Chordata; Aves; Anseriformes; Anatidae
Source: RefSeq, a predicted model, not a curated record
AAUUUCUGAAAUCAUUGCGUGUGUUUAUUUGAAUGGUCUUAGCCCGUCAUAUGCUUUUACUAUGGAAAGGCUUCUGAAUCUCUUGGCAUGACUAUAUCAUUAUAUUCUGUACUUUGGUGUGAUUGUUCUGCUUUUGAUCUGGUAGACUUUGGGGAUUUGCAUCCUUUCUCAAAGAGAAACUGUGGUGUUUUACUAGCUUCAAAACUGAUAAACAUUUGCAAUGCUUUUUUCUGCAUUCCUCUGGGACUGGUGGCCAUAUGCUCAUUAAAAUACCGGUAUUGGUUGUAUUGCCAUUGUCAAUCAGAACGAUCAGUUUUUGCCUGACAGUCUCUUCUAACAUAGUCUUUUAAUCAUGUUAACUAGCAGAAGCAAUAUAUCCAUAUUAUAUAAUUCAUCUUCUCAGUAGGUUUAGCUUUGUUCCCCAACCAGACCCUGUAUUUCAGCAUCAAAAAUCCAUGGCACAUUUUAUCAAAAAGAUGCAUUUCUUUUGAGCUGUUACUCUGUUUACAGUCCUUCCUAAUUUAAUUAACUCAGAUUCAUAAUGCCUGUCACAAGUGACAAAAAUAAUUAAUUCUGAAAUUUGGACUGUGGGGCUUUAUGUGGAAUACUUACCUUCAGGGGAUUGUCUCAAAAACAUGUUGGGUCAUCGUUUAUUGUGUCUGAGUCUAAUAGCGUGCCAAGUUUUGUGAUCUUUCAGUUAUGAUAUUUGAAUGAUGUAGGAAGCAAAAGAAAAGUAAUGAUUCCAUUUGUAUUAUAUUUUCAGUCAACGGUGAAGGAACACUUUGCACCGGGGGCUACAAACAUGCUAAUUACAAUAUGUACCAUGAAGCCUGCUAAACAGAAAUAGGUUACAUUUCCAAAACUGGGUGAAAGUUGCUUAUGCAAACAAGCAAUUAAAGAAACCAAUGAGACUGGCAUGCUCAAAUAGAAUAAAUCCAUACUUGCAAGUUGUUUUUUUUUCCUCUAAUUCUGUAUGAAUUUUUCUGAGACCAUUUGUGUAUAAGGCUUGUGCGUUUUUCAGGUACUGAUAUUACCGUAAUGCUUGAAAUAUGCGGCUAAAAUGACGAAGUCCUUGUAAGCAAAAAUGUGAGCAUCUAAUGUAAACCACUUGCUUCAGACACUGCUAUCUGCUCUAAGUGCAUCUCAGGAAAAAAGCAGUCUGCUGGUAACAGUAAUAUAAUAUACAGAUGUCUGGAUUAAUUGCUGACUGCAGAGAAAAUAGAGACAGAUUCAAAAUGGUUUGAAAGGAAGAAGGCAUAUUCUUCACUCGUUUAAGCAGAUCUGAGAUCAGGCUUGUUACUAUCAAACCUGAGAAUUUGAACACAUGAGCGAUGUAUUAAUCCCAAUUUCAGAUUGUUAUCUGACUGAUGUGGAUAGAAAAAAAUGCUUUAUUGAUGAAGGAAAUUUUUGAAAACAAGAAUAAGGAACCACGUCUCUUGAUUGCUGUGGGUUGACAGUAUUAAUAGAUGAACAUCAGUCUACUCUUUUGGUGAAAGAAGACCAGAAAACUUAUUCCUUAUUAAAGAAGAUGCGAAGCUCAGAAAGACUCACAGGACUAACUCCUUGGAGAGGAUGAAAUAAGAACAAGCUUAGCCUGGACUGUGUUUAGAGUGAUUUCAGAACAACCGAUCGAACCUGAAGUGUUCCACUCAUUGACUAGUGCGACUAUAUUUUCUUGAGAUGGCUGACUCUCACGUUUCUCUUCCUCAGGACAUCUGAAUGGACCAAAGGUAGUUAUUUCUUUCAAGCUGUUUGUCAGAAAGGUGAUUCCAAACGAACUUCCAAGAAACUGAAGCUGAUGAGCAGAUUCCAAGCAGAGCAGUGUUACCAUGGCCAUACAACAGGCAUACCAUGACUGGAGGAGAUUGCUCUGCAAAGAACAGACUCUUUGGAGAAAUACCACAGAACCACUCAUAUUGAUGUGAAACAUGCUUUGCAGAUGCAGCAGGUAUAAUCACAGAAUCACAGAACCACAGUAAAGCUUUUAGUCUUUGCAUAUCUGCUAGAUUUUCAAAAGAAAACAUAUACCUACUAAAAUACGAGUCUCGGGGCUUAAUGGACCAAUGAAGGGCGUCAGCUUCAUACUGUCUUUGAGGCCAGUGAUCUUUGAGUACUCAACAGUUUCCGAUCUGGUGGACUGCAAGUCUCAGACUCAGGAGGUCUCCCAGUGGAAGACUAAUGUUCACAAUUCAACAAGAUUGUUGAUCAUCAGUGAGAAGAGCCAGCAGGUUAUUUAAAGCUUUGGAAAAAAAAGUAUUGAAAAGGAAGAGUUCCAGUUACUUAACCUAUCCAAUGAAAGAGAAUGACUGUGUUGGAUAAGAAGAGUAAAUGAGCCAGUGCAGCUCACAGGAAAAUGCACUUAGCUACUUGCUAUGAGGAGCUAUGUAUAUCCAUACAUAUAGGACUUCAGGUAUGUGUUUGAUACCCAUUGUCCUCAGUGAGCCAAAAGCGUAUCCUGGAGUGUUUUGCUGAACUGAGCCCAGGUUCAUUGAAGUAUUUUUAUUUUUCAUCAAGUAGUACUUCUUGACCACGAUUCUGUGACUAUUUUGGGGAGCCACAAUAAAUGGGAGCAAUCCAGACAAUGAUUAAGCAGUCAAAAUUGAGCUGUUUCUCUCUGACUCCUUCCUUGUUUUUUAGUUUACUUCUAUUUUUACUGUGAAGGAGGCAGAAGUGGAAGGGAGCUAGUGCUAGUGUAUCAGACGUGUUUCUUCCUUUCAGAAAGGAACUUGACAGCUAAUGCUGUGAAGUCUUGUCUCUGCAGUGUCUCUCAGAACCUGGUAGGAGAGGUUGGGCAGGAUGGAUACUGAUAUUGUUCAGUAUGAACACACAAAUGACAUGCAUCUUGAUGUUACCCUUUUUUCAGAGCCCAGAGGUUCAUGGGUUUUUCAAGUGCUGUCACACUCAUUGAUUUGAAGGAAGGAAGCCCUAAAGCAGGGAGGUCGUUUAAGUUGAAAAAAUAAUUGGGCAGUAUGUCAGGAUUUGCAUGUAGCCAUGCUGCUAAGUUGUUUAGCAAUGAAUUAAAAAAGAUGAGUUUGUGAAAUGAUACCACAAAACACAUGUGACAAUUUAAUCAUCUUAACCUUUAUUCACGAGAAGGUUGUACCAAGGUAACUGUAUAGUUACAGUAAUACUAACCUCCCCCUUAUCCUUUCUGACUAGCCAGUCAUGUUUGUGCGUGCGUAGUCAUCUGUGUUGUGAGCUGUUGAGGUUGCAGGAACUGUUCUGUAGCAGUCAGACUUUGCUUGUAGAAAGAAAUGUUGUGUAAAGUAUAUUUUAUAUCAGUCAUUAUCAUUGUGGUCAUUAUUGAGCUUUGUAGCAGUGUAUUGGUGAAAAACACAUGUCCUGACUGGAGACGUCAUACCGGUCCCAAUUUGUAGGUGUAGACUGCUGUGUUCGCAGAACUGCCCCUAGCACCUCCAUGGCAGUUUUUGUCCAACAUUUCACAGGCAAAAAGUGGUUAACAUGAGGAUCUCAAUUAUCUUGUUGCUGGUGCAUGUCUUAUUUAUGUGUUAAAAAUAUGAGAUAAGAGUUUGUCUUCUGAGAAUUACAGAUUGUUCCUUUAGCUGAGGAAAUGAGUUAUACUGCCCUGCACUGUUGCAUUAUGUAUGUAUUUGUUGCUUCAGGUAGGUUAGACUGUAUCGCUGUGUUAUAAGAGCUUUUAACACUUAAAAAAAUGUUUUAGUUCACUAUUUCAUUAUUUAGAAAAAAAUGCACUAUCUUCCUCUUUAGAGAAAGAGGCCUAAACAAAUAUCAAACAUGUUACUUGUAUUUUGUAGUUUUGUGAUGUUAAUUCUCUGAAUGCCUUAAUAUUUGUUGGGAAGGUUCUAAUUUUACUGUUCUUGUCAUUUAUUACCUUGAGAAUUGUUGUUUUAUUUUUAUGGCAAAUCUAUUAUGAGUUUAUAUAAUAUUAUGUUUUUAAUCAGCAGUGCUUCAGAUGAUACUCCAGCUCAGUGGUAAGAGCUUGCUUUAGCUCAAAUGAUAUUUUCCCAAAGCACGUAGUAAUGCAUCUACUUAUUCAAAGUCAUUGCCACACUAAGAAGUGUAAUUACAGACUGUAUGGAGACUCUUGAUAAGAAAAUGGAAAAAAAUGUAUCAGCAAGAUCAAAGAAGCACCUGAAGUUAAUUAUAAAUUAGCAGUCAAGUGUAGCCAUCAAAAUACUUUAAUUAUUACUGGAAGUUUAAAAAAAUCCAGCAUUAUCUUGCAUGUUAGUUAAUUUUACUGCUAAGUCCUCUCAUUGUAUUCAUUUACACCUAAAAUAACUGAAAGAUGAAUUGUUUCCAGCCUAAGAGAAAGGUAAUA